AGCGAACGCUGGCGGCAGGCUUAACACAUGCAAGUCGAGCGGGCGUAGCAAUACGUCAGCGGCAGACGGGUGAGUAACACGUGGGAACGUACCUUUUGGUUCGGAACAACACGGGGAAACUUGUGCUAAUACCGAAUAAGCCCUUACGGGGAAAGAUUUAUCGCCGAAAGAUCGGCCCGCGUCUGAUUAGCUUGUUGGUGAGGUAACGGCUCACCAAGGCGACGAUCAGUAGCNGGUCUGAGAGGAUGAUCAGCCACACUGGGACUGAGACACGGCCCAGACUCCUACGGGAGGCAGCAGUGGGGAAUAUUGGACAAUGGGGGCAACCCUGAUCCAGCCAUGCCGCGUGAGUGAUGAAGGCCCUAGGGUUGUAAAGCUCUUUGUGCGGGAAGAUAAUGACGGUACCGCAAGAAUAAGCCCCGGCUAACUCCGUGCCAGCCGCCGCCGUAAU
RNAcentral lists this ribosomal RNA (451 nucleotides) under uncultured bacterium. RNAcentral describes it as "bacterial SSU rRNA". It matches the Rfam family "Bacterial small subunit ribosomal RNA", at positions 29 to 524 of the family's 1533-position model. The record is from RNAcentral.